AGUGGAUCCCUUCGGGGUGAAGCUCGUGGAACGAGCGGCGGACGGGUGAGUAACACGUGGGCAACCUGCCUGUAAGACCGGAAUAACCCCGGGAAACCGGGGCUAAUGCCGGGUAAUACUUUUCUUCGCAUGAAGGAAAGUUGAAAGAUGGCUUCUUGCUAUCACUUACAGAUGGGCCCGCGGCGCAUUAGCUAGUUGGUGAGGUAACGGCUCACCAAGGCGACGAUGCGUAGCCGACCUGAGAGGGUGAUCGGCCACACUGGGACUGAGACACGGCCCAGACUCCUACGGGAGGCAGCAGUAGGGAAUCUUCCGCAAUGGACGAAAGUCUGACGGAGCAACGCCGCGUGAACGAUGAAGGUCUUCGGAUCGUAAAGUUCUGUUGUUAGGGAAGAACAAGUACCGUGCGAAUAGAGCGGUACCUUGACGGUACCUAACGAGGAAGCCCCGGCUAACUACGUGCCAGCAGCCGCGGUAAUACGUAGGGGGCAAGCGUUGUCCGGAAUUAUUGGGCGUAAAGCGCGCGCAGGCGGUUCCUUAAGUCUGAUGUGAAAGCCCACGGCUCAACCGUGGAGGGUCAUUGGAAACUGGGGAACUUGAGGACAGAAGAGGAGAGUGGAAUUCCACGUGUAGCGGUGAAAUGCGUAGAUAUGUGGAGGAACACCAGUGGCGAAGGCGACUCUCUGGUCUGUUUCUGACGCUGAGGUGCGAAAGCGUGGGUAGCAAACAGGAUUAGAUACCCUGGUAGUCCACGCCGU
This 758-nucleotide ribosomal RNA is filed under the name Halobacillus trueperi. Its description in RNAcentral is "bacterial SSU rRNA". It matches the Rfam family "Bacterial small subunit ribosomal RNA", at positions 65 to 803 of the family's 1533-position model. The record is from RNAcentral. Lineage: Bacteria; Bacillati; Bacillota; Bacilli; Caryophanales; Bacillaceae.